This 1233-nucleotide non-coding RNA is filed under the name Pan troglodytes (chimpanzee). Lineage: Eukaryota; Metazoa; Chordata; Mammalia; Primates; Hominidae. The record is from RNAcentral.
GGUAACCCAGUAGCCCAAAAGACACAGUCCUUCUCAACAAAGCCUAACCAACAGGCAAUGGAUUACAGUGAUUCAGAGGAAAGAUAAGAAGGUUCCUUUGUCUUGGACCUCCACUAGACAUCAAGGAAACAUGCCAAAAAAGUAAACAACAAAGGCCCCCACACCUUUCCAAACUACAACCCAAAAUAAGUUGAUCUGAGAAACAAAUUGCAAUGCCGCAUGCAAAGCAGAUGUGUCCAAAUUCAUGUAGGACCAGACACAUCCUGAACCUUUCAGUGCAACAGCUGUUCAAGACUUUCUUCAAAAUCAUCCAAGCACAAGGGUUGAUAAAAUACACACAAAAUGGCUGAUGCUCAAACCAACCAAAACACCAGGCUCUUUGCUGAAACCUCUGAGAAGGGUUCCUGGCUCCAGGUCAGCCUCAAUGGAAUAAAGAUCACCUACCACUUCAAACUGAAGAGCUGAAGGAGUUGUAUCAAGAUACAGAGUGCAGCAAGUAUAGGAAACAUUAGAGAAACUGACCUGUCUGGAGAUGGCAAGCUGCAGAGCCAGCAUCUAAAAUGGCAGCCGAAGCUUGUCGGCUUUGCGGAGGGCCUCGAGGUGAAGAAUCCAUAGGCCCUGAGGUCUGAUCUCCCCAGCAGAUGAGUCUCUGUGUCAUGCUGGGACACAGUGAAGCCAUGUGUGCACUUGGCAAGGCGAUGGCUGCUUUGACAGGGUCUUACUCUAUCACCCAGGCUGGAGUGCAGUGGCAUGAUCACUGCUCAUUGCAGCCUCAACCUCCCAGGGCCCAAGCGAUCCUCCCAUCUUAGCCUCCCAAGGUGCUGGGACCACAGGCGUGCUCCCCACGCCCAGCUAAUUUAUAGAAUUUUUUGUAGACCCGGGGUUUCAACAUGCUAUCCAGGCUAGUCUGGAACUACUAGGCUCAAGUGAUCCUCCCACUUUGGCAUCCCAAAACCCUGGGAUUACAGGCAUAAGCCACCACGCCCAGCUACUAAAUGUCUUAUUUCUAAGGUCCACUCAGUAUAUAGCAGCUUUUAUAAUUUUACAAAUAUUGGCUUUCCAUGAAUUUGUACAUCAAAGAAUAUUUUUCUUUGGUGUUUAUAAAAGUGAGAUUGAAAAAUCAUGGUUUCUCUCAUAAUUAUUCAGGAAAAAUAAUACAAAAUUAUGAAGAAAUUUUUAGAUUUAUUUUAUCUUCUUUCACAAAUAAUAAAUUUACAGAACCCUCAAAAAGAA